This 934-nucleotide long non-coding RNA is filed under the name Physcomitrium patens. RNAcentral describes it as "long non-coding RNA (PPAT_LNC002984)". Lineage: Eukaryota; Viridiplantae; Streptophyta; Bryopsida; Funariales; Funariaceae. The record is from RNAcentral.
GGUACCUCCGAUCCUUUUCAAUUUUUUUGUGCUUGUUUUUAACUUAAUUUUUAAGAAGUUUGAAAAAUAUGAAUUAAGAUCGACGAUUUAUUCAUUAGUUAUUGAGGUUUAAAUCUAUUAUAGGAAUUACUAAGAUUUGAUUUAAGAUUUGGUUAGAGUUUGGUUUAGGGUUUAAGAUUUGAAUUAGGGUUUGAUUUAGGAUUUAAGAUUUGGUUAGGAUUUGAUUUAGGAUUUAAGAUUUAAUUAAGAUUUUAUUUAGGAUUUAUGAUUUGUAUUAAGAUUUGGUUUAGGGUUUGGUUAGGGUUUUAUUUAGGAUUUGGAUUAGGAUUUGGUUUAAGGUUUAGGAUUUGGUUAGGAUUUGAUUUAGGAUUUGAUUAGGAUUUGAUUAGGAUUUGGUUUAGGAUUUGGUUGGAGUUUGAUUUAAGAUUUGUUUAGGAUUUGAUUUAGGAUUUAGAAUUUUAUUAGGAUUUAAGAUUUAAUUAGAUUAGGCCUAAAGUUUGAAUGAAGUUCAAUAGGAUUUUAACUAUAAUUAAAUUAAGAUUGAAUUGAAAUGUAUUUGAAAGAUAUUUGUAAUCCUUCUAAUAUUUCUUUAAGAAUUCUUAUUGUUUGUUUGAAAUUUCUUGAGCUUUUUUUGAAUUUGAUUGAAGCUUACUUAGCAUUUUUAUGAUCUUAUUAGAGUUUAAUUAGUAUUCUAUUACAAUCAAGAUUUUGUUGUUGCAAUUUCCAUUCUUCCUUCUACAGCUAGGUGCUCGGAGGAUUCUCAAGUAAGACUUUACGUAUUGCAACAACGAUACAUUCUUCUGUAAAACAAACACCUUUCUUUGCCAAUUAUGGUUAUCAUCCACGACUUGAUACUUUUGACUUUUUAAAAGUUGAUAAUCUUGUUGCGAAAGAUUUGGCAAUUCAUUUUUCAGAGCUACAUGCAACAAUGAAG